This 543-nucleotide ribosomal RNA is filed under the name uncultured bacterium. Its description in RNAcentral is "partial 16S ribosomal RNA". It matches the Rfam family "Bacterial small subunit ribosomal RNA", at positions 355 to 914 of the family's 1533-position model. The record is from RNAcentral.
UGGGGAAUAUUGCACAAUGGGCGAAAGCCUGAUGCAGCAACGCCGCGUGAGUGAUGAAGGCCUUCGGGUUGUAAAGCUCUGUCUUUUGGGACGAUAAUGACGGUACCAAAGGAGGAAGCCACGGCUAACUACGUGCCAGCAGCCGCGGUAAUACGUAGGUGGCAAGCGUUGUCCGGAUUUACUGGGCGUAAAGGAUGCGUAGGCGGAUUUUUAAGUGAGAUGUGAAAACCCUAAGCUUAACUUGGGGACUGCAUUUCAUACUGGAAAUCUAGAGUGCGGGAGAGGAGAAUGGAAUUCCUAGUGUAGCGGUGAAAUGCGUAGAGAUUAGGAAGAACACCAGUGGCGAAGGCGAUUCUCUGGACCGUAACUGACGCUGAGGCAUGAAAGCGUGGGUAGCAAACAGGAUUAGAUACCCUGGUAGUCCACGCCGUAAACGAUGAGUACUAGGUGUAGGAGGUAUCGACCCCUUCUGUGCCGCAGUUAACACAAUAAGUACUCCGCCUGGGAAGUACGAUCGCAAGAUUAAAACUCAAAUGAAUUGAC